This 507-nucleotide ribosomal RNA is filed under the name uncultured Glomus. RNAcentral's name for it is "SSU rRNA". It matches the Rfam family "Eukaryotic small subunit ribosomal RNA", at positions 569 to 1076 of the family's 1831-position model. The record is from RNAcentral. Lineage: Eukaryota; Fungi; Glomeromycota; Glomeromycetes; Glomerales; Glomeraceae.
AGCAGCCGCGGUAAUUCCAGCUCCAAUAGCGUAUAUUAAAGUUGUUGCAGUUAAAAAGCUCGUAGUUGAAUUUCGGGAUCAAUUUAUUGGUCGUGCUAUUGUACGUACUGGUAUUAUUGAUUCCUACCUUCUGACGAACCAUGAUGUCAUUAAUUUGGUGUCAUGGGGAAUCAGGACUGUACUUUGAAAAAUUAGAGUGUUAAAGCAGGCUCACGCUUGAAUACAUUAGCAUGGAAUAACGAAAUAGGACGUUUGAUUCUAUUUUGUUGGUUUCUAGGAUCGACGUAAUGAUUAAUAGGGAUAGUUGGGGGCAUUAGUAUUCAAUUGUCAGAGGUGAAAUUCUUGGAUUUAUUGAAGACUAACUACUGCGAAAGCAUUUGCCCAAGGACGUUUUUCAAUUAAUACAAGAACGAAAGUUAGGGGAUCGAAGACGAUCAGGUACCGUCGUAGUCUUAACCAUAAACUAUGCCGACUAGGGAUCGGAUGAUGUUAAUUUUUAAUGUAACU